This 231-nucleotide unclassified non-coding RNA is filed under the name Hevea brasiliensis (rubber tree). The record is from RNAcentral. Lineage: Eukaryota; Viridiplantae; Streptophyta; Magnoliopsida; Malpighiales; Euphorbiaceae.
GGGUUGUAUUUUUAGGAACAAUCAAUGGCCCAGUUCAGUUAAAUAUCUGCAUCAUCUAUAGUAUCUUCUAUGAUGGCAAUGCAUGAUCCUACAGAUCUUCCCAUGGUCAUGGCUUCUGCAAGUUUAGCUCGGGCUCCCUCAUGCCGACGCAAAAUUAAGAUAGUGUUCAAGACAGACCAUCUGACUUGAGAAUCUGCUUUCUUCUGGGUAAAGCCUAAGCUCUUGAGCAGC